AUGACCAGAUGGCUGAUGCAAAGGUUGUGCUCCAUUCCAUCCCCAUCCAUCGCUGCCCACGGCCACGGCCGCCCCCGCCUUCUUCCUUCAUCCCCCCUCUUCAGUUCUCCCGGUGCUCCCACUAUUAGAGAUUGUGUCUCCAUUUAUUAUCGUGAGAAAGAGAAACUGAAGAAGUUCUUUAAAGAAAACUGUGAAAGAGUCAGCCUAACAACCAACACCUGGACAUCUAUGCAACAACAGAGCUAUAUGUGUGUUACCGCUCAUUUCCUUGACACUGACUGGAAGCUACAUAAGAGGAUUAUUGGGUUCUUCUUGAUUAGUUGUCGUAAUGGGGAAGACAUUGGGAAGGACAUCGAGAGGUGUUUGGUGUAUUGGGGCUUAGAGAAGAUGGUUAUGAACAAUGCUAAAACCAGCAUAGCAGAAGGACAAUAUUUUCACAUGAGAUGUGCUACCCAUGUCAUAAACUUGAUAGUUUCAGAUUUCCUAAGAGAGUUGGAUAUCCCAGUGCAGCGAGUCAGUCCGUUUUAUCAGAAAUUCUCCAUCUAG
RNAcentral lists this ribosomal RNA (546 nucleotides) under Triticum aestivum (bread wheat). RNAcentral's name for it is "partial small subunit ribosomal RNA". The record is from RNAcentral. Lineage: Eukaryota; Viridiplantae; Streptophyta; Magnoliopsida; Poales; Poaceae.